Molecule: ribosomal RNA, 169 nt
Filed under: uncultured bacterium
Lineage: Bacteria
Description: partial 16S rRNA
Rfam family: Bacterial small subunit ribosomal RNA
Source: RNAcentral
CCUACGGGAGGCAGCAGUGGGGAAUAUUGGACAAUGGGCGGAAGCCUGAUCCAGCCAUGCCGCGUGAGUGAUGAAGGCCUUCGGGUUGUAAAGCUCUUUCGGCGGGGACGAUAAUGACGGUACCCGCAGAAUAAGCCCCGGCUAACUUCGUGCCAGCAGCCGCGGUAAU